AGUGAACGCUGGCGGUAGGCCUAACACAUGCAAGUCGAACGGCAGCACAGGAGAGCUUGCUCUCUGGGUGGCGAGUGGCGGACGGGUGAGGAAUACAUCGGAAUCUGUUUUUUCGUGGGGGAUAACGUAGGGAAACUUACGCUAAUACCGCAUACGACCUACGGGUGAAAGCAGGGGAUCUUCGGACUUUGCGCGAUUGAAUGAGCCGAUGUCGGAUUAGCUAGUUGGCGGGGUAAAGGCCCACCAAGGCGACGAUCCGUAGCUGGUCUGAGAGGAUGAUCAGCCACACUGGAACUGAGACACGGUCCAGACUCCUACGGGAGGCAGCAGUGGGGAAUAUUGGACAAUGGGCGCAAGCCUGAUCCAGCCAUACCGCGUGGGUGAAGAAGGCCUUCGGGUUGUAAAGCCCUUUUGUUGGGAAAGAAAUCCAGCUGGUUAAUACCCGGUUGGGAUGACGGUACCCAAAGAAUAAGCACCGGCUAACUUCGUGCCAGCCGCCGCAGUAA
This 506-nucleotide ribosomal RNA is filed under the name uncultured bacterium. RNAcentral describes it as "partial 16S ribosomal RNA". It matches the Rfam family "Bacterial small subunit ribosomal RNA", at positions 29 to 523 of the family's 1533-position model. The record is from RNAcentral.